Molecule: ribosomal RNA, 423 nt
Filed under: uncultured bacterium
Lineage: Bacteria
Description: bacterial SSU rRNA
Rfam family: Bacterial small subunit ribosomal RNA
Source: RNAcentral
AAGACCUUGCGCUUUUGGAGCGGCCGAUGUCUGAUUAGCUUGUUGGUAAGGUAAAAGCUUACCAAGGCUUCGAUCGGUAGCUGGUCUGAGAGGACGGCCAGCCACACUGGGACUGAGACACGGCCCAGACUCCUACGGGAGGCAGCAGUGGGGAAUUUUGGACAAUGGGGGCAACCCUGAUCCAGCCAUGCCGCGUGAGUGAAGAAGGCCUUCGGGUUGUAAAGCUCUUUCAGCCGGAACGAAACGGUUACGGUUAAUACCCGUGACUACUGACGGUACCGGAAGAAGAAGCACCGGCUAACUACGUGCCAGCAGCCGCGGUAAUACGUAGGGUGCAAGCGUUAAUCGGAAUUACUGGGCGUAAAGCGUGCGCAGGUGGUUUUGUAAGUCAGAUGUGAAAUCCCCGGGCUUAACCUGGGAACU